UGGGGAAUAUUGCGCAAUGGGGGAAACCCUGACGCAGCGACGCCGUGUGAGGGAAGAAGGCUCUCGGGUCGUAAACCUCUGUCGGGAAGGAAGAACCUCUCAGGGCUGAACAAGCCCUGGGACUGACGGUACUUCCAAAGGAAGCACCGGCUAACUCCGUGCCAGCAGCCGCGGUAAUACGGAGGGUGCAAGCGUUAAUCGGAAUCACUGGGCGUAAAGCGCGCGUAGGCCGUCUUUUAAGUCGGACGUGAAAGCCCUCGGCUCAACCGGGGAACUGCGUUCGAUACUGGGAGACUUGAGUCCUGGAGAGGGUGGCGGAAUUCCGGGUGUAGGAGUGAAAUCCGUAGAUAUCCGGAGCAACACCGGUGGCGAAGGCGGCCACCUGGACAGGUACUGACGCUGAGGCGCGAAAGCGUGGGGAGCAAACA
This 428-nucleotide ribosomal RNA is filed under the name uncultured bacterium. Its description in RNAcentral is "bacterial SSU rRNA". It matches the Rfam family "Bacterial small subunit ribosomal RNA", at positions 355 to 774 of the family's 1533-position model. The record is from RNAcentral.